UAUUUGAGCUUUUCUUACAACGUAUUAGGUUUUACCAACUCGUUGGCUACAGUAAGUUUAAAAAUAAAGCCUGGCUUUAGAACUCUCUAAAGUUUGACCUCGGAUCAGGUAGGAUUACCCGCUGAACUUAAGCAUAUCAAUAAGCGGAGGAAAAGAAACCAACAGGGAUUACCUUAGUAACGGCGAGUGAAGCGGUAAAAGCUCAAAUUUGAAAUCUAGCGUCUUUGGCGUUCGAGUUGUAAUUUGAAGAUGGUAAUCUUGGAUAUAGUCUUCGGCUAUGUUCCUUGGAACAGGACGUCACAGAGGGUGAGAAUCCCGUGUGCUGAGGUGCCUAUAUCCAUGUAAGAUGCUAUCGAAGAGUCGAGUUGUUUGGGAAUGCAGCUCUAAGUGGGUGGUAAAUUCCAUCUAAAGCUAAAUAUUGGCGAGAGACCGAUAGCGAACAAGUACAGUGAUGGAAAGAUGAAAAGAACUUUGAAAAGAGAGUGAAAAAGUACGUGAAAUUGUUGAAAGGGAAGGGCAUGAGGUCAGACUUGGUAUUAAGCGAUCAUUUCCUCUCGGGGUUGUGCUCUCGCUUUUUACUGGGCCAGCAUCAGUUUGAACGGUAAGAUAAUGACAUUGGAAUGUGGCUUUCUUCGGGAAGUGUUAUAGCCCUUGUUGAUGUUGCCAGUUUGGACUGAGGACCGCGCAU
This 688-nucleotide ribosomal RNA is filed under the name Nadsonia fulvescens var. elongata. RNAcentral describes it as "eukaryotic LSU rRNA". The stretch from base 95 to 688 matches the Rfam family "Eukaryotic large subunit ribosomal RNA", at positions 1 to 600 of the family's 3401-position model. The record is from RNAcentral. Lineage: Eukaryota; Fungi; Ascomycota; Dipodascomycetes; Dipodascales.